CCUACGGGAGGCAGCAGUGAGGAAUAUUGGUCAAUGGCCGAAAGUCUGAACCAGCCAAGUAGCGUGAAGGAUGACUGCCCUAUGGGUUGUAAACUUCUUUUAUACGGUAAUAAACUUUUCCACGUGUGGAUUUUUGUCUGUACCUCAUGAAUAAGGAUCGGCUAAUUCCGUGCCAGCAGCCGCGGUAAUACGGAGGGUCCGAGCGUUAUCCGGAUUUAUUUGGUUUAAAGGGAGCGUAGGUGGGUUUUUAAGUCAGUUGUGAAAUGUUGUGGCUCAACCUCAAAAGUGCAGUGGAAACUGGAAGUCUUGAGUGCAGGAGAGGCAGGCGGAAUUCGUGGUGUAGCGGUGAAAUGCUUAGAUAUCACGAAGAACACCGAUUGCGAAGGCAGCCCACUGGACUGCAACUGACGCUGAGGCGCGAAAGCGUGGGGAUCAAACAGGAUUAGAUACCCGAGUAGUC
RNAcentral lists this ribosomal RNA (460 nucleotides) under uncultured bacterium. Its description in RNAcentral is "partial 16S ribosomal RNA". It matches the Rfam family "Bacterial small subunit ribosomal RNA", at positions 338 to 795 of the family's 1533-position model. The record is from RNAcentral.